UCUUGAUGGGUUGGAUCUUAUCUCUAAAGAAUAUAAGAGAUGUGUAUAGUUGCAGCAUCUCUUUGUGAGUACAAGGAAGGUCAGCUGCUGGCUUGUGUGAAUUUAUAUCUUAGCAGUAAUAGUUGCCGAGUUGUCAUGUGACCUGAAAAAUACCGGCCCAGUGAUUUCUGGCUGGUUCAAACAUGGAAAAUGUUUUAGUCAGGAUCAAACAUCACUGCAGACAUUAGAAGUUCAGUGUGUCAGUGACAUUGAUAUGGUGUAAGCAACUAGCCAAAGAGUGAUGACGUCUUUCAUUUUCUAUUAUUAUGUUUUAUGUCUUUAAUAGCUAAAGGGAGGACCGAAAUAAUUACUUAAAUUUGUAUAUCUGGUGUUUCCCUUAGAUGCUACUGCAAUUUUGGAACGGAGUCUUGUGGUCUGACAUAAAUACGCCCCCCCCCCCCCAAAUUAUUCAAAUAUAUAAUGAGAGUUUGUCCAAUUCUUUUAAUAUAGUGGCAUGUUUCUCGGCCUCAAUGGGGAAAAUGGUAUGCUUUACUGUUAUAGUUACAUUCAAACUGUCCAUGCUAAAUCAGCUUAUAUCUAUGCACGUCUUCAUAGAACCUGUAAUUUUUUUCUUUUCUGUUCCUUAUUUCUUACUCGCUUACUCACUAAGCAUGGUAUCAUUGGAAACAACUUUGCCAGUUCUGUAAAUCCCAGGAGUUGAAGUCCAAGUAAAUGAUCUAAAAAAGCAUUAUUAAAAUUAAAUAAAUCACUGAAUCUGGAAGGGAUCAAAUCACUGAAUCACAGAAUGACCUGCUGUUGCAUUUGUGUGGAUUGACAUGCAUGUUUUCGUUGUUCCUUGAGGUUGUGAAAGCCCUAAUGUGUAAGCCUUUUGAAUAAUGCCACUGUAAUUCGAGGAUGACUAUGACAUGGUUUCGAAUUUGACUGGAAUUUUUAGGGUGCUUCAUUCACUCAUGAUGUAAGUUAGACCUAAAUUCUAUGGCAUGUCCAUUAUUGAUGUAGUGAAAGUUAAAAUCUGGGAAAAAUAUAUGGUCUCAUGAUGCAAGUUUUUUUUUUGAAACUCUCAUGAUGCAAGUUAGUCCAUCCUAGGAGUUAUUGGUUUAUGUUUACUGGGUUGCAACAUCUAUGUUGGUUGCAAUAAAAGUUGUCUUGUCAUUUUUUUAAAAAAAUUGUUCAUAUGUUCUGAUGGAGACUUGAAAAUAUCAGGUGCAGGCCAUAUCAAUUUGUU
This 1225-nucleotide long non-coding RNA is filed under the name Sorghum bicolor (sorghum). RNAcentral's name for it is "long non-coding RNA (SBIC_LNC017857)". The record is from RNAcentral. Lineage: Eukaryota; Viridiplantae; Streptophyta; Magnoliopsida; Poales; Poaceae.